AUUGAACGCUGGCGGCAGGCCUAACACAUGCAAGUCGAGCGGAUGAAGGGAGCUUGCUCCUGGAUUCAGCGGCGGACGGGUGAGUAAUGCCUAGGAAUCUGCCUGGUAGUGGGGGAUAACGUCCGGAAACGGGCGCUAAUACCGCAUACGUCCUGAGGGAGAAAGUGGGGGAUCUUCGGACCUCACGCUAUCAGAUGAGCCUAGGUCGGAUUAGCUAGUUGGUGGGGUAAAGGCCUACCAAGGCGACGAUCCGUAACUGGUCUGAGAGGAUGAUCAGUCACACUGGAACUGGGACACGGUCCAGACUCCUACGGGAGGCAGCAGUGGGGAAUAUUGGACAAUGGGCGAAAGCCUGACCCAGCCAUGCCGCGUGUGUGAAGAAGGUCUUCGGAUUGUAAAGCACUUUAAGUUGGGAGGAAGGGCAGUAAGUUAAUACCUUGCUGUUUUGACGUUACCAACAGAAUAAGCACCGGCUAACUUCGUG
RNAcentral lists this ribosomal RNA (484 nucleotides) under uncultured bacterium. RNAcentral's name for it is "partial 16S ribosomal RNA". It matches the Rfam family "Bacterial small subunit ribosomal RNA", at positions 30 to 507 of the family's 1533-position model. The record is from RNAcentral.